UACGAGGGGGGCUAGCGUUGUUCGGAAUUACUGGGCGUAAAGCGUGCGCAGGCGGCCUUUCAAGUCAGUGGUGAAAGCCCGGAGCUCAACUCCGGAACUGCCAUUGAAACUGUUUGGCUUGAGUACGAGAGAGGUGAGUGGAAUUCCUAGUGUAGAGGUGAAAUUCGUAGAUAUUAGGAAGAACACCGGUGGCGAAGGCGGCCCACUGGUCCGGUACUGACGCUGAGGUGCGAAAGCGUGGGGAGCGAACAGG
Molecule: ribosomal RNA, 253 nt
Filed under: uncultured bacterium
Lineage: Bacteria
Description: partial 16S ribosomal RNA
Rfam family: Bacterial small subunit ribosomal RNA
Source: RNAcentral